AGAGUUUGAUCCUGGCUCAGAUUGAACGCUGGCGGCAGGCCUAACACAUGCAAGUCGAACGGUAACAGGAAGCAGCUUGCUGCUUCGCUGACGAGUGGCGGACGGGUGAGUAAUGUCUGGGAAACUGCCUGAUGGAGGGGGAUAACUACUGGAAACGGUAGCUAAUACCGCAUAAUGUCGCAAGACCAAAGAGGGGGACCUUCGGGCCUCUUGCCAUCGGAUGUGCCCAGAUGGGAUUAGCUUGUUGGUGGGGUAACGGCUCACCAAGGCGACGAUCCCUAGCUGGUCUGAGAGGAUGACCAGCCACACUGGAACUGAGACACGGUCCAGACUCCUACGGGAGGCAGCA
Molecule: ribosomal RNA, 349 nt
Filed under: uncultured bacterium
Lineage: Bacteria
Description: bacterial SSU rRNA
Rfam family: Bacterial small subunit ribosomal RNA
Source: RNAcentral